Cynoglossus semilaevis (tongue sole) is the source of this 4552-nucleotide long non-coding RNA. RefSeq lists it as uncharacterized. The record is from RefSeq and is a predicted model, not a curated record. NCBI's taxonomy places the organism in Eukaryota, Metazoa, Chordata, Actinopteri, Pleuronectiformes, Cynoglossidae. The transcript is spliced from 5 exons.
AAAGGGAAAAAACAAACAAACUAUACAGUAGUUUUAAGUAUAAACAAGUCCAUAAAGAAUGCAAAUCUUACCGAUGUAGAAGCGUCCUGAAGUUCGUCUAUAGAAGAAUUCUCCAUGAGUUGACGAGGUCGGCUGCUUCGACCAUUUUGCUGUGCUUGGUUCUUCUCGAGCAGUCUGAAGAAGACCUGAGGGCACAGAGGGCACAGAGGGCAGACACAAGAUCCCAGUCUGUGGCUUUACUCAGGAGCAGCCAGGAGGGGGAAGCAUCCCUCUUUGCUUUUGAACCGAGAAGGAAGCCAAAGAAAAAGGACGGCAUCCUCGAUGGUUCCAAUUUCCAGCCCAUUCCCCAAUUUUCAAGCCCAGUGACAGACAACACACGCUGGAAUGUCUGUUUAGCCAAAGAAGGGAAUUGUAUAAAGAAUGGCCUGACGGCGCUCUCCCAAGAUUGGAGGCCAUUUUGUGGUGGAGCUCUGCGUUCAACAUUGUGACUAAUGGGUAGCCCUACAGGACUAUUGGAGACUUGGAAAUAUGCUUUUCGUUACAGUUACUUUGGAAAUUUAUAUUUCAUUACAGCCCUGCUUAUUCUAGUGCAGAGAGGACACAGAUGUGUUUGUGUAGCAAAAAUGGGUUACUUCUAAAAAUGAUAAUUAAACUCUCGUGAUGUGAGAGGGUAUCCUGUAUUCCCAGAAUGCCUUGUCUCACUGAAGCAACCUUUGGAGGGAGAUCUGGGGGAGUCCUCCCACCUUCCUUACAGCUCCCAGCUCUUCAGAAGCCCCUUAGUGCAUCUCAUUGUCUCUACUGAGAGAUAAGGUCUGCCUUUGCUGUGUACGAUAGCUACCCUACCUUUGGCAUGUGGUCGUUGCUAAUUACUUUGAGCUGUUAAGGGAGACAUAUCUGGGGAGACAGGCAGGAGAAGGAGACCUACAAACCCACUUUAGAAGAAGUAGAAGCCGAUUUUACGAUUGCUUCGUAUAGCUUUGUUUGACCCCGGUACGUAUUGUUCUCAUACGGCCAGUCUGUGUGUGUCGUUUUGUUCUGCUAAAGUGAAUGGCUGAGGAUGUUGAGGUCUGCAAACGGUGUUUUCAGUCCCAUCCCAUGUAUUGCAUCAUGUCCUAUUAUAGGACACAGUGUUGAUCACAUUUAGGGCUGCGCUCCACUGUGUGUUUCUGUCUGUGUGUGAAAGAGAGGUUCUUUCUAAAUGCCUCAGGAAAGCUGGUAAAAAAAAAUCUUAGGCUCAUUUGUGAUCUGCCCCGGUGCAAGACAGUGACCUGGCAGAAGUCAAAUGUGAUAAAUCCAGGCUUAGAUGCGCUUUAGGUUUUUAAGGCAAAAAAAAGAAACAAAAGGACAAACGUAGAAAGAAAUCAUUAGCUAAACCAAAAACCAGCAUAAAUCAAUUUGAAACAGUAAAUUAGCUGGUAUAAAUCACUGUCCAGGCUUCAGUAAGCCACGGUGGCAGUGUCAGGGAUCGGGUUUAGCAGACUCGCUGCCUGGUAAACUGCUCCAUUUAACUCCCCUCCGACUCCCACUGGCUCAUUGCUAAAUAAGGAUAUCAAUUAGGCUAAAGCACUCAGCAAAGGCUCCCAAGUUAACCAUCAGCCGAGGCAUGAAUGGAUCUUUGGGGAUAUUGACUGCUGCGGCAAUAGGUUUGUAAGUGGGCUGACCAUGGGGUAAUUAAAGCAGCAUUAUCAUGUUACGCAGUUUAUGGUACUUCUGUGGCUCUAUGUGCCAUCCAUGCAAGACAGUGGAGGAUGAAAACCAGACAGAUGCAGAUGCUGUGUUCUCAGGGUCAAGCAGGCUGCGUGAGAAGAAAGGUCACUCCUGGGUGUGUGUUGUACUUACCUUUAAGUCUAAUUUGAGCCGAUUUGGCCGCCAUCAGCUGUUUUUUUUUAAAAAAAAAAGCCUUUCAUUUUCAAUCUUAACGCUGCCAAUAUUUAACCAUUCAACUUCUGUGAGUAAGACUUACAUCUGAACAUGAUGUGAAGAAAAUCAUCAGGAAUAAGCUCAAGCCAGCCCACUAUAUGAGGUGGCCUUGAUGUAUGUGCAAUUACAGCAUAAUUACGGUGAUAAUUACUGUACGGGUAAGAUUAAUAACUUUAUUAGCUAAAAUGGUUCACUUUUAAAAGAGGGAUAUGUAUACGUUGGUCUGGUGGAACUAAAUUUGCUCAAAGUCAAUUAACGCGCUGAUUGUAUGUCUCAUUACUCACGUGUUUCACCUUGCAAAGGCACCUUGAGAAGCUAAAUUUAAAAUGUAAAAAGGUCAGAAAGUCCCCCGUACAAUUAAGGCAGGAAUUUCUCAAGAAUUUCAUCACUAUUGAGAAAAUGACUAUUUUGGCCAAUUUAAUGAGAAAGACCUAGUUCAAAAUGAAUCCCUGUGAAUGGCAUGCUGAGUCUGUGGAACAUAUUUCAAUUACCACAGGAGAGGUAACUACAGUCUACACUGACGCUGUUCAUUUAUCCCUGACGGGUAGGUUUCCGCGGUUGUUUUUUUGUCAAGGAAGAGUGCGGUCCGACUGUGAUUGGACUGUUCGACAGCUGGCCCUUUAAGCUCCCUUGAUACAAUAAUAACUUCUCCUCUUUAAUUUAGCCAAGCUAGCCGCGUUGUUGUAAAGGGCUAGAUUUGUUUUAUCAGGACCUAUUAACCAUUUCCCUCUUAUUAUUAAAUGCAUGCUCUCUAAUUUGCAAUUUUUCCAACGUGAUGUAAUUAUGAUGUAUCAGUUCCCUCAAAUAAAGGCCCUGUCCUCUCUCGGUGUUAAUUUGAGUGUGUGAACUUUAUACUUUGAACUAAUUGGUUGCUGUCGAAAUCCCCCUGAAUGUGAGUAAUUUGAUCAGGUAUUCCAUAACCAUUGUACAAUUUAAUUUGAGUAAUUUAAUUGGAUUUGACUGCUCAUUUCUGGGCCACUCUCCACUCAGGAACUGCAGAGCUGCAGAGGUGUCCUGAGGCAAACAUGGGCUCUAACUGCCACCAGUCGCUCAAACCAACAGAGCUGGAAACUUCCCACUAGAACGCCGAGCUGGUUCAGACACUGGACAGCUGUUUCACUCUUCACAUUUAUUUAUUUGUCAUUUAUUUAUUUGACUUCUGGCACCGACUCUGCUGUGAACACAUCAUCGGGGAAAAGGGAUGCAAGGAUGAAGUCUUUAUCUUAUGCUCAAGCUUUUUAAGGGACUUCCCACUGUGGUACAGUGGACUUUUCUCUGUCUUUAGACUCAACAAUCUUGUUUUAGUCAUAGCACAGAUCCACAGAGUUGGAGGUAGGAGAUGAGGCUGUGGAAUACACAGAGUAAGAAAAUGCCUCAUGGGUAAAAGAAGGAUUCUCAGAGUAGAUACUGAUAUAGAGAGAAACUGGGAGAGAGAGAGAGAGACAGACACCCAUGGGCAAGAGUGGCACUGUCAUGCCCAAGUUCUCCUUGUCCGCCCCCUACUGCCAGAGACGACACUGCCGCUUUGCAUCCGUCUUAUGUAGUCAUAACAGCAGGUCCUCUAACCCAAUUUAUGACCUCCACCCUAGCCGGGGUAUAUAGGAGUUUAACAAUGGGCGACUCUGUAGGGAGGGAGUACGUCAAGACCUCACCGAGCAACUUCCUCAUCUAUUAUUUCUCUUUUUAUAUAUUGUGUAGAAUGUGUCUUUUCUGGGAAUUCCACAAUAAAAUGACUGUUAUUUAUCAUUACCAACCUCUUUAUCAUUUAGUCAAUAAAAGGCCUCUCACUCUCUCUCCCUCUCCUUCCCUGCAUCGCGCUCUGGGAGUCAGAUAUCUGUAUUAGUCCCCCUGCCUCGGGGCGAGCCGUGUCACAAGCUAAAUCAUGAUCAGCUAUGGCUUUCUGGCUAAAUUGUGUAUGAAGGCCGCGGGCAAGAAAAGGUGCACAUGCUUAUUAUUGCAGACACAGAGAGAAAGCGACAGAAGUUUGCGCACACACAUUAAAGCCCACAUAAACAUACACAUGAACGGGGCUGCGAUAAAUCGCGGUGGCACAUAUCUGCGGACGUGGGUCAUGAGGAUUUGUGUAAAUAGUCACAAAUUAAUGUGUGAGUGUUUGUAUUUGCAUGCAAAUCAGCACAGCACAUAUUAUAUUGUGAGUAUAGUGAAAAUAAAGAGAGCAAUGACACAUCUGUUAGUGAGUUAACAAGGACGGCGCAGCCUUAUUUCCGUAUUAACAUCCUUUAUGUGACAUCACACUAAUAUUUACGGUAACCAAUCGCAGUUUUUAUUCCACGAUUGUGCCAGAGGAGAUCCUUAAAUACAAGAGGUUAAAAGAGUGUUGCAACACUCCCAGGAGGAACCUAUUGGCAGAGUGACUUUGGGAAUUAAAGAAAUGAAUCCUGUUUAGCAGCAAUUCAUUUUUGUCUUUUUAUUGACGGUUGAUCGUAGGAUGAAGAUUAACUGGAACAAAUCAAAAUGAGGUUAACAUGAAAAAGACACACUGCCGCAAAAUCAAGUCAGGAGUUUGUCUUUAUUGCAGUUUAUUGAGGGUUUGAACACUAAAACAUGCAACUACACUGACAUGAUAGAGUACAACAUUAAUUUAAGAAGAAAAAAAGUAAAAAAAAAAAAA